Molecule: ribosomal RNA, 550 nt
Filed under: uncultured bacterium
Lineage: Bacteria
Description: bacterial SSU rRNA
Rfam family: Bacterial small subunit ribosomal RNA
Source: RNAcentral
UGGGGAAUUUUGGACAAUGGGGGCAACCCUGAUCCAGCCAUGCCGCGUGAGUGAAGAAGGCCUUCGGGUUGUAAAGCUCUUUCAGACGGAAAGAAACGGUUACAGAUAACACCUGUGACUAAUGACGGUACCGUCAGAAGAAGCACCGGCUAACUACGUGCCAGCAGCCGCGAUAAUACGUAGGGUGCGAGCGUUAAUCGGAAUUACUGGGCGUAAAGCGUGCGCAGGCGGUUUUGUAAGACAGACGUGAAAUCCCCGGGCUUAACCUGGGAGCUGCGUUUGUGACUGCAAGGCUAGAGUACGGCAGAGGGGGGUAGAAUUCCACGUGUAGCAGUGAAAUGCGUAGAUAUUAGGAGGAACACCGGUGGCGAAGGCGGCUACCUGGACCGAUAUUGACGCUGAGACGCGAAAGCGUGGGUAGCAAACAGGAUUAGAUACCCUGGUAGUCCACGCCGUAAACGAUGAGAACUAGGUGUUGCGGGUAUUGACCCCUGCAGUGCCGCAGCUAACGCAUUAAGUUCUCCGCCUGGGAAGUACGGUCGCAAGACUA